GCGGAUAUGGCCGAAUGGUCAAAUUUAUCUUUGCCGAGGAGAAGACGCGGGUUCGAUUCCCGCUAUCCGCC
This 71-nucleotide transfer RNA is filed under the name Vaccinium myrtillus (common bilberry). RNAcentral describes it as "tRNA-Gly". It matches the Rfam family "tRNA". Rfam says of the family: Transfer RNA (tRNA) molecules are approximately 80 nucleotides in length. Their secondary structure includes four short double-helical elements and three loops (D, anti-codon, and T loops). The record is from RNAcentral. Lineage: Eukaryota; Viridiplantae; Streptophyta; Magnoliopsida; Ericales; Ericaceae.